GCUUACGGCCAUACCAGCCUGAAUACGCCCGAUCUCGUCUGAUCUCGGAAGCUAAGCAGGGUCGGGCCUGGUUAGUA
This 77-nucleotide ribosomal RNA is filed under the name Acanthochromis polyacanthus (spiny chromis). Lineage: Eukaryota; Metazoa; Chordata; Actinopteri; Pomacentridae. The record is from RNAcentral.